This 710-nucleotide long non-coding RNA is filed under the name Rosa chinensis. RNAcentral describes it as "sRNA RchiOBHm_Chr2g0100101". Lineage: Eukaryota; Viridiplantae; Streptophyta; Magnoliopsida; Rosales; Rosaceae. The record is from RNAcentral.
UAUUUAGUUUGUUCUAAUGGAUUACCUAUAUAACUAUAUCUCAUAGUUUAUCGAUACUGAUCAUUGCUUGAUUUAAAACUUAUCAAAUUAAAGUAGCUGCAAAGAUACUGAUCUGCUUUGUUGAAUUUGAUUCAAAUUCUAUCUUUAGGUUGUACACGGCAGCUUUAGGAUCUCCUUUCUAUUUUGCUUCUUGUACACAACAGCUUUAUAUGAUGUACACAGCAGAUUUAUAUAUUUGCUUCAAUCUUUUCACUCAUUUGCUUCCAAUUUUUGCCCCUGCUUAUAUAUAUUCCUGCAUCCGCCACUGGCUACACAAUGAGAUCAUGUAGCUUGAUCAUUCCACUUUUAUGAGAACCUGAGGCAUAUAUGAGAGCUUUGUAUAUUUUGAACAAAAAGAAAGGAAAUGAUGAACAAGAGGUCUGUAUAGUAUUCAAUUCAGAACGAGAACCUACUUCAAAAUGAGAGUGCUAGUCAGCUAUUUAUACAAGAGUGUCAAGUAGAUGGCAAAAUACACUUUUAACCUUAACAAUAUAUGCAUUGCGUGAUUGAGUAGUUGUUCGAUCACAUACAUUUGUUUAACCUGGCUAUGAUCGAGAAACCAUGAAAAAAGUAUGUGGAGAUUUUUGCCAUUUGAAGAGAUGGAGAAUGGAUCAAUGACAACUUAUAAUGGGCAUGUUGGAUCUUGCUCUCGAUCAUGUGUUUAUGAUUAA